This 468-nucleotide ribosomal RNA is filed under the name uncultured bacterium. RNAcentral's name for it is "partial 16S ribosomal RNA". It matches the Rfam family "Bacterial small subunit ribosomal RNA", at positions 28 to 507 of the family's 1533-position model. The record is from RNAcentral.
GAUGAACGCUGGCGGCGUGCUUAACACUUGCAAGUCGAACGGAAAGGCCCAAGCUUGCUUGGGUACUCGAGUGGCGAACGGGUGAGUAACACGUGGGUGAUCUGCCCUGCACUUCGGGAUAAGCCUGGGAAACUGGGUCUAAUACCGGAUAGGACGAUGGUUUGGAUGCCAUUGUGGAAAGUUUUUUCGGUGUGGGAUGAGCUCGCGGCCUAUCAGCUUGUUGGUGGGGUAAUGGCCUACCAAGGCGUCGACGGGUAGCCGGCCUGAGAGGGUGUACGGCCACAUUGGGACUGAGAUACGGCCCAGACUCCUACGGGAGGCAGCAGUGGGGAAUAUUGCACAAUGGGCGCAAGCCUGAUGCAGCGACGCCGCGUGGGGGAUGACGGCCUUCGGGUUGUAAACUCCUUUCGCUAGGGACGAAGCGUUUUUGUGACGGUACCUGGAGAAGAAGCACCGGCUAACUACGUG